This 72-nucleotide transfer RNA is filed under the name Cohnella phaseoli. RNAcentral describes it as "tRNA-Gly". It matches the Rfam family "tRNA". Rfam says of the family: Transfer RNA (tRNA) molecules are approximately 80 nucleotides in length. RNAcentral also lists the same sequence under 12 other names. Lineage: Bacteria; Bacillati; Bacillota; Bacilli; Caryophanales; Paenibacillaceae. The record is from RNAcentral.
GCGGAAAUAGCUCAGUGGUAGAGCAUCUCGUUGCCAACGAGAAGGUCGCGGGUUCGAAUCCCGUUUUCCGCU